AGCAGCCGCGGUAAUUCCAGCUCCAAUAGCGUAUAUUAAAGUUGUUGCAGUUAAAAAGCUCGUAGUUGAAUUUCGGGGUUAGCAGGUUGGUCAUGCCUCUGGUAUGUACUGGUCUCACUGAUUCCUCCUUCCUGAUGAACCUUAAUGCCAUUAAUUUGGUGUUUUGGGGAAUUUGGACUGUUACUUUGAAAAAAUUAGAGUGUUUAAAGCAAGCUAACGCUUGAAUACAUUAGCAUGGAAUAAUGAAAUAGGACGUUCGAUCCUAUUUUGUUGGUUUCUAGGAUUGACGUAAUGAUUAAUAGGGAUAGUUGGGGGCAUUAGUAUUCAAUUGUCAGAGGUGAAAUUCUUGGAUUUAUUGAAGACUAACUACUGCGAAAGCAUUUGCUAAGGAUGUUUUCAUUAAUCAAGAACGAAAGUUAGGGGAUCGAAGACGAUCAGAUACCGUCAUAGUCUUAACCAUAAACUAUGCCGACUAGGGAUCGGAUGAUGUUAAUUUUUUUAAUGACUCAUUCGGCACCUU
This 520-nucleotide ribosomal RNA is filed under the name uncultured Glomus. Its description in RNAcentral is "SSU rRNA". It matches the Rfam family "Eukaryotic small subunit ribosomal RNA", at positions 569 to 1089 of the family's 1831-position model. Lineage: Eukaryota; Fungi; Glomeromycota; Glomeromycetes; Glomerales; Glomeraceae. The record is from RNAcentral.